UUGACCUCGGAUCAGGUAGGGAUACCCGCUGAACUUAAGCAUAUCAAUAAGCGGAGGAAAAGAAACCAACAGGGAUUGCCCUAGUAACGGCGAGUGAAGCGGCAACAGCUCAAAUUUGAAAUCUGGCGCAAGCCCGAGUUGUAAUUUGUAGAGGAUGCUUCUGGGCAGCGGCCGGUCUAAGUUCCUUGGAACAGGACGUCAUAGAGGGUGAGAAUCCCGUAUGCGACCGGCUUGCACCCGUCACGUAGCUCCUUCGACGAGUCGAGUUGUUUGGGAAUGCAGCUCUAAAUGGGAGGUAAAUUUCUUCUAAGGCUAAAUACCGGCCAGAGACCGAUAGCGCACAAGUAGAGUGAUCGAAAGAUGAAAAGCACUUUGGAAAGAGAGUUAAAAAGCACGUGAAAUUGUUGAAAGGGAAGCUCACGCAGCCAGACUUGUCGGCGGUGUUCCGCCGGUCUUCUGACCGGUCUAUUCGCCGCCGGCAGGCCAGCAUCACUUGGGAGCGCCGGAUAAAGGCGUGCGGAAUGUAGCCCCUCGGGGCAUUAUAGCCGCGCGCACAAUACGGCGCCUCCCGAGUGAGGUCCGCGCUUCGGCUAGGAUGCUGGCGUAAUGGUUGCUUGAGGCCCGUCUUGAAACACGGACCAAGGAGUCUAACAUCUAUGCGAGUGUUCGGGUGUCAAACCCCUACGCGGAAUGAAAGUGAACGGAGGUGGGAACCGCAAGGUGCACCAUCGACCGAUCCUGAUGUCUUCGGAUGGAUUUGAGUAAGAGCAUAGCUGUUGGGACCCGAAAGAUGGUGAACUAUGCCUGAAUAGGGUGAAGCCAGAGGAAACUCUGGUGGAGGCUCGCAGCGGUUCUGACGUGCAAAUCGAUCGUCAAAUUUGGGUAUAGGGGCGAAAGACUAAUCGAACCAU
This 911-nucleotide ribosomal RNA is filed under the name Hortaea werneckii. RNAcentral's name for it is "eukaryotic LSU rRNA". It matches the Rfam family "Eukaryotic large subunit ribosomal RNA", at positions 1 to 943 of the family's 3401-position model. Lineage: Eukaryota; Fungi; Ascomycota; Dothideomycetes; Mycosphaerellales; Teratosphaeriaceae. The record is from RNAcentral.